AUGCGCAGGGUCCCCGACCGCAACCGUUACCACCGCAGUCCAACUCGCUCUGACUUCUGCUCACUCGCCAACCGCUCUCGGACCGGGCGUGCCCCCACUUGUCAAUCACAUGGGCUGCAGCCACGUCACCACGAUGGGGCUCCGGACGUCGUGCCCGCGGCCGUCCGACCAGACGAGGUGCCCGUGCACGGGCGCCGCGGUGGAGGGGGCGGACGCCGCCGACACCGUCACCGCGAAGCUCUGCUUCUUCGCGGACGGGGAGAAGACGAGCUUCUCCGGCUUCACCGCCACGGACGCGCCGCCGCUCGCCAUCUCCACGCGCGCCUUGUACGUCGCGGACGCCUCCGCGCCGACGUUGGUCGCCGUGCGGAUCACCGUCUUCGACUGGUUGCCGCCGUAGAGCACCACCGAGAUGGACGGGUAGUUAAGGUCGGACCCCGACGGCUUCCUGCCCGUCGCGGCGGGGCACGCCACGGGCUUGUGCGUGAUCACCUCGAUCGCGUUGGCCGCGUACCCGAUGCUGCACAUGAACGCCACGUAGUCCUCGUCCCCGGCGUCGUACACCAGCCCCGGGUCCAGGGCCUUGCCCAGCGCGAUGUGCCCCGCGCCGUGGUCGAACGGCGUCGCGGCGCGCCUGGGCUCGGCCUCGUCCGCCACGGCGCCGCCGCGGUUGUCGGUCACGAUGGCCGUGGUCAUCAGCGCCGAGCGGAUGGCCGCCGGCGACCACCCGGGGUGCGCGGACCGGAGCAGCGCGGCGGCGCCACUCGCGUGCGGGCACGCCAUGGACGUCCCCGACAGGAUGUUGAACUCCGUCCGCCGGUCGUCGGCCUCCAGGCCGGUUGGACCGGUGGCGCCCGUCCACGCCGCGAGGAUGUUGACGCCGGGCGCGAUGAAGUCGGGCUUGAGGAUUUCCGGGACGAGUCCGUUCGGCCCGCGCGCCGAGAAGGAGGCCACCAGGGGAGCCGGCUUGACGCCGAUGACCGUGCCCCGGAACACAAUUGUUGCGGUCGGGUUGGUGGUGUUGGCAGCGUACGCCUUGAGCGCGUCGCCCUCGUUCUCGCCCACCGAGCAAGCAGGGAGGACGUGGGCGUCCCCUACUAG
Molecule: ribosomal RNA, 1101 nt
Filed under: Triticum aestivum (bread wheat)
Lineage: Eukaryota; Viridiplantae; Streptophyta; Magnoliopsida; Poales; Poaceae
Description: partial small subunit ribosomal RNA
Source: RNAcentral